This 323-nucleotide long non-coding RNA is filed under the name Homo sapiens (human). RNAcentral describes it as "non-protein coding GAPLINC:11". Lineage: Eukaryota; Metazoa; Chordata; Mammalia; Primates; Hominidae. The record is from RNAcentral.
AGGUUUAAGGAAAGAAGCCAUCUCCAUAACAUAAAAGUGCAAGGUGAAGCAGCAAGUGCUGAUGGGGAAGCUGCAGCAAGUCAUCCAGAAGAUCUUGCUAAGGGUAUGCACAGAUGUGGAAACAGGAACUGAUGUGUCCAUUACACCACUAGGACAGAGGCCAGAACAAUGAAGAAACCAAAUACUUGGAAGAGGGUAGAGAUAAUGAAUGGAGUCCAAGAGCCCUGAUUGUGCCAUAAAUGUCCAGAUAAUUCCAUACCUGAGGAUUAUGUGGUUUGUAAACUUGGCACUUAGAAGAACCAAUAAAAUCAUGUUAUAGUUUC